Molecule: ribosomal RNA, 465 nt
Filed under: uncultured bacterium
Lineage: Bacteria
Description: partial 16S ribosomal RNA
Rfam family: Bacterial small subunit ribosomal RNA
Source: RNAcentral
ACGAACGCUGGCGGCGUGCUUAACACAUGCAAGUCGAACGGAAAGGCCCUGCUUGCAGGGUACUCGAGUGGCGAACGGGUGAGUAACACGUGGGUGAUCUGCCCUGCACUUCGGGAUAAGCUUGGGAAACUGGGUCUAAUACCGGAUAGGAGCCAUCUUUAGUGUGGUGGUUGGAAAGUUUUUUCGGUGUAGGAUGAGCUCGCGGCCUAUAAGCUUGUUGGUGGGGUAAUGGCCUACCAAGGCGGCGACGGGUAGCCGGCCUGAGAGGGUGUACGGCCACAUUGGGACUGAGAUACGGCCCAGACUCCGACGGGAGGCAGCAGUGGGGAAUAUUGCACAAUGGGCGCAAGCCUGAUGCAGCGACGCCGCGUGGGGGAUGAAGGCCUUCGGGUUGUAAACUCCUUUCGCUAGGGACGAAGCUUUUUUGUGACGGUACCUAGAUAAGAAGCACCGGCUAACUACGUG